This 369-nucleotide ribosomal RNA is filed under the name uncultured bacterium. RNAcentral describes it as "bacterial SSU rRNA". It matches the Rfam family "Bacterial small subunit ribosomal RNA", at positions 527 to 898 of the family's 1533-position model. The record is from RNAcentral.
GGAGGGUGCGAGCGUUGUCCGGAUUUAUUGGGUUUAAAGGGUGCGUAGGUGGCUGUUUAAGUCAGUGGUGAAAUACGGUUGCUCAACAAUCGAGGUGCCAUUGAUACUGAAUAGCUUGAAAUAAUUGGAGGCUGCCGGAAUGGAUGGUGUAGCGGUGAAAUGCAUAGAUAUCAUCCAGAACACCGAUUGCGAAGGCAGGUGGCUACGAUUGGUUUGACACUGAGGCACGAAAGCAUGGGGAGCAAACAGGAUUAGAUACCCUGGUAGUCCAUGCUGUAAACGAUGAGGACUCGUUGUUUGGCUGCAAAGCUGAGCGACUUAGGGAAACCGUUAAGUCCUCCACCUGGGGAGUACGCCGGCAACGGUGAA